RNAcentral lists this ribosomal RNA (375 nucleotides) under uncultured organism. RNAcentral describes it as "partial 16S ribosomal RNA". It matches the Rfam family "Bacterial small subunit ribosomal RNA", at positions 527 to 896 of the family's 1533-position model. The record is from RNAcentral.
GUAGGUGGCAAGCGUUGUCCGGGAAUUAUUGGGGCGUAAAGCGCGCGCAGGCGGUUCUUUAAGUCUGAUGCGAAAGCCCACGGGCUCAACCGUGGAGGGUCAUUGGAAACUGGAGAACUUGAGUACAGAAGAGGAAAGCGGAAUUCCACGUGUAGCGGUGAAAUGCGUAGAGAUGUGGAGGAACACCAGUGGCGAAGGCGGCUUUCUGGUCUGUAACUGACGCUGAGGCGCGAAAGCGUGGGGAGCAAACAGGAUUAGAUACCCUGGUAGUCCACGCCGUAAACGAUGAGUGCUAAGUGUUAGGGGGUUUCCGCCCCUUAGUGCUGCAGCUAACGCAUUAAGCACUCCGCCUGGGGAGUACGGCCGCAAAGGCUG